Long non-coding RNA from Gallus gallus (chicken), 607 nucleotides. RefSeq lists it as uncharacterized. Lineage: Eukaryota; Metazoa; Chordata; Aves; Galliformes; Phasianidae. The record is from RefSeq and is a predicted model, not a curated record. The transcript has 3 exons.
UGUUUUCUGCUGUUUGUCCCAUGUCCUGUUGCUCAGUGGUAGAUUUGUUGGUGUUCGGUGCUAGCAGGAAUGUCCCAGAGCAUUUUGGUUUCAGCUGUCACAAUGCUUUGAUCCCCUGCUGCUGGGCUGGGGCGUUUGAGGAAUGAUGCGUGUGCUGAUGUCCAUCCAGGCUUUGGGGAUGAGUCUGCGUAGCAGGGAGGGCAGGUGGUGAAGCUCAUGAAGCAAUGCCUGCAGAUGGGGUUUGCAGAGCAAGAGGUCCGUCCUGCAGGCCUUGUGUGACACGCAUGGAGCUGUAGCGAGGCUGCAUCAGUGUAAAACAGCAGAAAUGCACGGAGGUGUGAAGUGAUAACCAUGGAAGCAUGGAAGCAUGGAAGCGUUACCCAGACAGACUGAGCAUUUGUCACCUGGGCAUUCUACAGAUGACAUAGGUAGUGGAAGUCAGCAUUGGAAGCAUGCGUGAGACCCCUGCAAAAGAAUGAUGAGAGUUACCCUGGCGGCCUCCUUUGGCAAUCUCAGGUCUCUGUAAGCUCUUAAGCUGUGUCGUAAGUCCUCCCAUGGUGCUGACUCAGCUCUCCCUGUCUUUGGUGUAGGAGAGCUGGUCUUCAGC